This 3007-nucleotide ribosomal RNA is filed under the name Yersinia enterocolitica subsp. palearctica Y11. Its description in RNAcentral is "LSU rRNA". It matches the Rfam family "Bacterial large subunit ribosomal RNA". The record is from RNAcentral. Lineage: Bacteria; Pseudomonadati; Pseudomonadota; Gammaproteobacteria; Enterobacterales; Yersiniaceae.
GGUUAAGCGACUAAGCGUACACGGUGGAUGCCUAGGCAGUCAGAGGCGAUGAAGGGCGUGCUAAUCUGCGAAAAGCGUCGGUAAGGUGAUAUGAACCGUUAUAACCGACGAUACCCGAAUGGGGAAACCCAGUGCAAUUCGUUGCACUAUUGCAUGGUGAAUACAUAGCCAUGCAAGGCGAACCGGGGGAACUGAAACAUCUAAGUACCCCGAGGAAAAGAAAUCAACCGAGAUUCCCCCAGUAGCGGCGAGCGAACGGGGAGGAGCCCAGAACCUGAAUCAGCGUAUGUGUUAGUGGAAGCGUCUGGAAAGUCGCACGGUACAGGGUGAUAGUCCCGUACACAAAAAUGCAUAUGUUGUGAGUUCGAUGAGUAGGGCGGGACACGUGACAUCCUGUCUGAAUAUGGGGGGACCAUCCUCCAAGGCUAAAUACUCCUGACUGACCGAUAGUGAACCAGUACCGUGAGGGAAAGGCGAAAAGAACCCCGGCGAGGGGAGUGAAACAGAACCUGAAACCGUGUACGUACAAGCAGUGGGAGCACCUUCGUGGUGUGACUGCGUACCUUUUGUAUAAUGGGUCAGCGACUUAUAUUUUGUAGCAAGGUUAACCGAAUAGGGGAGCCGUAGGGAAACCGAGUCUUAACUGGGCGAAUAGUUGCAAGGUAUAGACCCGAAACCCGGUGAUCUAGCCAUGGGCAGGUUGAAGGUUGGGUAACACUAACUGGAGGACCGAACCGACUAAUGUUGAAAAAUUAGCGGAUGACUUGUGGCUGGGGGUGAAAGGCCAAUCAAACCGGGAGAUAGCUGGUUCUCCCCGAAAGCUAUUUAGGUAGCGCCUCGUGAACUCAUCUUCGGGGGUAGAGCACUGUUUCGGCUAGGGGGUCAUCCCGACUUACCAAACCGAUGCAAACUCCGAAUACCGAAGAAUGUUAUCACGGGAGACACACGGCGGGUGCUAACGUCCGUCGUGAAGAGGGAAACAACCCAGACCGCCAGCUAAGGUCCCAAAGUCAUGGUUAAGUGGGAAACGAUGUGGGAAGGCACAGACAGCCAGGAUGUUGGCUUAGAAGCAGCCAUCAUUUAAAGAAAGCGUAAUAGCUCACUGGUCGAGUCGGCCUGCGCGGAAGAUGUAACGGGGCUAAACCAUGCACCGAAGCUGCGGCAGCGAACGUAUCACUUAAAACGCUUAACGUGACGGCAAAGCCGGCAUGUUCAAGCCACACUAAACGUUGAGUUGGCCGAUGUGCUGACAAACGAACAGGCGUUUUAAGGAUACGUUCGUUGGGUAGGGGAGCGUUCUGUAAGCCGUUGAAGGUGGUCUGUGAGGGCUGCUGGAGGUAUCAGAAGUGCGAAUGCUGACAUAAGUAACGAUAAUGCGGGUGAAAAACCCGCACGCCGGAAGACCAAGGGUUCCUGUCCAACGUUAAUCGGGGCAGGGUGAGUCGACCCCUAAGGCGAGGCUGAAAAGCGUAGUCGAUGGGAAACAGGUUAAUAUUCCUGUACUUGGUGUUACUGCGAAGGGGGGACGGAGAAGGCUAGGCUAGCCGGGCGACGGUUGUCCCGGUUUAAGCAUGUAGGCGGAGUGACCAGGUAAAUCCGGUUGCUUAUCAACGCUGAGGUGUGAUGACGAGUCACUACGGUGAUGAAGUAGUUGAUGCCAUGCUUCCAGGAAAAGCCUCUAAGCAUCAGGUAACAUGAAAUCGUACCCCAAACCGACACAGGUGGUCAGGUAGAGAAUACUCAGGCGCUUGAGAGAACUCGGGUGAAGGAACUAGGCAAAAUGGUGCCGUAACUUCGGGAGAAGGCACGCUGGCAUUAGGUAAAGGGACUUGCUCCCGGCGCCGAAGCCAGUCGCAGAUACCAGCUGGCUGCAACUGUUUAAUAAAAACACAGCACUGUGCAAACACGAAAGUGGACGUAUACGGUGUGACGCCUGCCCGGUGCUGGAAGGUUAAUUGAUGGGGUCAGCCGCAAGGCGAAGCUCUUGAUCGAAGCCCCAGUAAACGGCGGCCGUAACUAUAACGGUCCUAAGGUAGCGAAAUUCCUUGUCGGGUAAGUUCCGACCUGCACGAAUGGCGUAAUGAUGGCCAGGCUGUCUCCACCCGAGACUCAGUGAAAUUGAACUCGCUGUGAAGAUGCAGUGUACCCGCGGCAAGACGGAAAGACCCCGUGAACCUUUACUAUAGCUUGACACUGAACAUUGAGCCUUGAUGUGUAGGAUAGGUGGGAGGCAUAGAAGUGUGGACGCCAGUCUGCAUGGAGCCAACCUUGAAAUACCACCCUUUAAUGUUUGAUGUUCUAACUCGGCCCCGUAAUCCGGGGUGAGGACAGUGUCUGGUGGGUAGUUUGACUGGGGCGGUCUCCUCCCAAAGAGUAACGGAGGAGCACGAAGGUUAGCUAAUCACGGUCGGACAUCGUGAGGUUAGUGCAAAGGCAUAAGCUAGCUUGACUGCGAGAGUGACGGCUCGAGCAGGUACGAAAGUAGGUCUUAGUGAUCCGGUGGUUCUGAAUGGAAGGGCCAUCGCUCAACGGAUAAAAGGUACUCCGGGGAUAACAGGCUGAUACCGCCCAAGAGUUCAUAUCGACGGCGGUGUUUGGCACCUCGAUGUCGGCUCAUCACAUCCUGGGGCUGAAGUAGGUCCCAAGGGUAUGGCUGUUCGCCAUUUAAAGUGGUACGCGAGCUGGGUUUAGAACGUCGUGAGACAGUUCGGUCCCUAUCUGCCGUGGGCGUUGGAAGAUUGAGAGGGGCUGCUCCUAGUACGAGAGGACCGGAGUGGACGAAUCACUGGUGUUCGGGUUGUCAUGCCAAUGGCAUUGCCCGGUAGCUAAAUUCGGAAGAGAUAACCGCUGAAAGCAUCUAAGCGGGAAACUUGCCUCGAGAUGAGUCUUCCCUGGGGCUUUAAGCCCCCUGAAGGAACGUUAAAGACGAUGACGUUGAUAGGCUGGGUGUGUAAGUGCAGCGAUGCAUUGAGCUAACCAGUACUAAUGAACCGUGAGGCUUAACCUU